GACCAGAUGUCCCUAUUUUAUAGGGACAGUCCUGAUAUUUGAGGUUUUUUCUUCUAUAGAUGCCUAUUACUACCCCGCCCUGUCCCAGUUUUUCACACUUGCUGUCUGGUCACCCUAGCCUCAGCUGAGGGUUAUUUA
Gopherus evgoodei (Goodes thornscrub tortoise) is the source of this 138-nucleotide long non-coding RNA. RefSeq lists it as uncharacterized. Lineage: Eukaryota; Metazoa; Chordata; Testudines; Testudinidae. The record is from RefSeq and is a predicted model, not a curated record. The transcript is spliced from 3 exons.